UUAUUAUUAUUAUUAUUAUUAUUAUUAUUAUUAUUAUUCAAUAUCAAGCAUAUUCAUUACACGCGGACAUAGACCGUGGCCACGUGCGGAGCGUUUUUACUUUGGCCUAUGUCGCGUGGUCUUCAGGAAACGUAAAUGACGUCAUAGAAGUGGAGACAGCGCGCGUACCAAACAGGAGCAACUGUCGGCAGCAUCAGAUUCCUCUGUGUCUAUCAGUGCAAUCAGCAGGCCAGACCCGCAGUCAGCCAAGCAGCCUGAAACAAAGCAGCAAGAACGACUGAAAAUAAAGGAUCAACCCCCCACCCCCUUCUCCAACAGGAGAAGCUAAACAAAAAUGGACCAACAUUAUGGGGCCAUCAGUGGGAUUCAAUAAUCGAGCCUUUAAUUUUGCCUUCGCAGUAGAGCCAAUACAGAUGGGAUAUCCAGCCUCACGAGUCUGCUUGGAUGAUUAUAUGUGGUGCCAGGGCAGAAGGUGUCUGCCAAGAAAGGAGCCUGCUUUUUCUCACUAUAUGAGAAACCAACAUGGAUGGAUACAGCAGCCUAGGCACCAGGACAUUCUUUCUGAAAGUAUCUUCAAGCUCUGGUGCAGUAGUCCUCAGGAACCAGACCCCGCAAGAGGUCAUUAUGUCGGUUGGUUUAUUAGCUAAAGGGAACUGUGUUUGUUUAACUCGGGAAUAAAAAACUCUCCAAUUAAGCA
Molecule: long non-coding RNA, 697 nt
Filed under: Betta splendens (Siamese fighting fish)
Lineage: Eukaryota; Metazoa; Chordata; Actinopteri; Anabantiformes; Osphronemidae
Description: lncRNA (ENSBSLG00000005483.1)
Source: RNAcentral